UUUGAUCCUGGCUCAGAUUGAACGCUGGCGGCAUGCCUUACACAUGCAAGUCGAACGGCAGCACGGGAGCAAUCCUGGUGGCGAGUGGCGAACGGGUGAGUAAUACAUCGGAACGUGCCCAAUCGUGGGGGAUAACGCAGCGAAAGCUGUGCUAAUACCGCAUAAGAUCUACGGAUGAAAGCAGGGGAUCGCAAGACCUUGCGCGAAUGGAGCGGCCGAUGGCAGAUUAGGUAGUUGGUGAGGUAAAGGCUCACCAAGCCUUCGAUCUGUAGCUGGUCUGAGAGGACGACCAGCCACACUGGGACUGAGACACGGCCCAGACUCCUACGGGAGGCAGCAGUGGGGAAUUUUGGACAAUGGGCGCAAGCCUGAUCCAGCCAUGCCGCGUGCAGGAUGAAGGCCUUCGGGUUGUAAACUGCUUUUGUACGGAACGAAACGGCUCUUUCUAAUAAAGAGGGCUAAUGACGGUACCGUAAGAAUAAGCACCGGCUAACUACGUGCCAGCAGCCGCGGUAAUACGUAGGGUGCAAGCGUUAAUCGGAAUUACUGGGCGUAAAGCGUGCGCAGGCGGUUAUGUAAGACAGUUGUGAAAUCCCCGGGCUCAACCUGGGAACUGCAUCUGUGACUGCAUAGCUAGAGUACGGUAGAGGGGGAUGGAAUUCCGCGUUUAGCAGUGAAAUGCGUAGAUAUGCGGAGGAACACCGAUGGCGAAGGCAAUCCCCUGGACCUGUACUGACGCUCAUGCACGAAAGCGUGGGGAGCAAACAGGAUUAGAUACCCUGGUAGUCCACGCCCUAAACGACGUCAACUUGUUGGGUCUUCACUGACUCAGUAACGAAGCUAACGCGUGAAGUUGACCGCCUGGGGAGUACGGCCGCAAGGUUGAAACUCAAAGGAGUUGACGGGGACCCGCACAAGCGGUGGAUGAUGUGGUUUAAUUCGAUGCAACGCGAAAAACCUUACCCACCUUUGACAUGUACGGAAUUUGCCAGAGAUGGCUUAGUGCUCGAAAGAGAGCCGUAACACAGGUGCUGCAUGGCUGUCGUCAGCUCGUGUCGUGAGAUGUUGGGUUAAGUCCCGCAACGAGCGCAACCCUUGUCAUUAGUUGCUACAUUCAGUUGGGCACUCUAGUGAGACUGCCGGUGACAAACCGGAGGAAGGUGGGGAUGACGUCAAGUCCUCAUGGCCCUUAUAGGUGGGGCUACACACGUCAUACAAUGGCUGGUACAAAGGGUUGCCAACCCGCGAGGGGGAGCUAAUCCCAUAAAACCAGUCGUAGUCCGGAUCGCAGUCUGCAACUCACUGCGUGAAGUCGGAAUCGCUAGUAAUCGUGGAUCAGAAUGUCACGGUGAAUACGUUCCCGGGUCUUGUACACACCGCACGUCACACCAUGGGAGCGGGUUCUGCCAGAAGUAGUUAGCCUAACCGCAAGGAGGGCGAUUACCACGGCAGGGUUCGUGACUGGGGUGAAGUCGUAACAAGGUA
RNAcentral lists this ribosomal RNA (1485 nucleotides) under metagenome. RNAcentral's name for it is "bacterial SSU rRNA". It matches the Rfam family "Bacterial small subunit ribosomal RNA". The record is from RNAcentral.